GGGAUUAGAUACCCCACUAUGCUUAGCCUUAAAUCUAGAUGUUAACUUUACAAGUGGCAUCCGCCAGGGUACUACAAGCGCUAGCUUAAAACCCAAAGGACUUGACGGUGUCUCAGACCCACCUAGAGGAGCCUGUUCUAGAACCGAUAAUCCCCGUUAAACCUCACCACCCCUUGUCUUCUCCGCCUAUAUACCGCCGUCGCAAGCUUACCCUGUGAAGGGCCCAUAGUAAGCAAAAUGGGUACGUCCCCAAACGUCAGGUCGAGGUGUAGCUUACGAGGUGGGAAGAAAUGGGCUACAUUUUCUGCAUCAGAAUAUUACGAACGGCACCAUGAAAGUGGUGCUUGAAGGUGGAUUUAGUAGUAAUGAAGAAAUAGAGAGUCUUUUUGAACUAGGCUCUGAGACGCGCACACACCGCCC
RNAcentral lists this ribosomal RNA (420 nucleotides) under Attonitus ephimeros. RNAcentral describes it as "partial 12S ribosomal RNA". It matches the Rfam family "Bacterial small subunit ribosomal RNA", at positions 774 to 1395 of the family's 1533-position model. The record is from RNAcentral. Lineage: Eukaryota; Metazoa; Chordata; Actinopteri; Characiformes; Stevardiidae.